RNAcentral lists this ribosomal RNA (253 nucleotides) under uncultured bacterium. Its description in RNAcentral is "partial 16S ribosomal RNA". It matches the Rfam family "Bacterial small subunit ribosomal RNA", at positions 524 to 776 of the family's 1533-position model. The record is from RNAcentral.
UACGAGGGGGGCAAAUGUUGUUCGGAAUCACUGGGCGUAAAGGGUGCGUAGGCGGGUCUUUAAGUCAGGGGUGAAAUCCUGGAGCUCAACUCCAGAACUGCCUUUGAUACUGAGGAUCUUGAGUUCGGGAGAGGUGAGUGGAACUGCGAGUGUAGAGGUGAAAUUCGUAGAUAUUCGCAAGAACACCAGUGGCGAAGGCGGCUCACUGGCCCGAUACUGACGCUGAGGCACGAAAGCGUGGGGAGCAAACAUG